This 360-nucleotide ribosomal RNA is filed under the name Carabus quinlani quinlani. Its description in RNAcentral is "partial 12S ribosomal RNA". The record is from RNAcentral. Lineage: Eukaryota; Metazoa; Arthropoda; Insecta; Coleoptera; Carabidae.
UUUAAAUGUAAAAUAAAUAUACUAAAGUAGUAUUAGUUAUGUUCUUGAAAUUUAAAGAUUUUGGCGGUAUUUUAGUCUAUUUAGAGGAGCCUGUUCUAUAAUUGAUAAUCCACGAUUAAUUUUACUUAAUUUAUAUAAAUUUGUAUACCGUCGUUAUAAGAAGAUUUUAAAAGAAUAUAAAUUUUUAAUAUUUUAUAUAAAAAAAUAUAUCAGAUCAAGGUGCAGUUGAUAGUUAAGAAGAAAUGGGCUACAAUAAAUUUAUUUAUUUAUACGGAUUAGAGUAAUAAAUUGACUUUAUGAAGGUGGAUUUAAUAGUAAUAAAAUUAAUUUAAAUUUUAUGAUUUUAGCUCUAAAAUAUGU